RNAcentral lists this ribosomal RNA (465 nucleotides) under uncultured bacterium. Its description in RNAcentral is "partial 16S ribosomal RNA". It matches the Rfam family "Bacterial small subunit ribosomal RNA", at positions 338 to 795 of the family's 1533-position model. The record is from RNAcentral.
CCUACGGGAGGCAGCAGUGGGGAAUAUUGCGCAAUGGGCGAAAGCCUGACGCAGCGACGCCGCGUGAGGGAUGAAGGUCUUCGGAUCGUAAACCUCUGUCAGCAGGGAAGAACGGUCACUGUGCUAAUCAGCAGUGAAUUGACGGUACCUGCAAAGGAAGCACCGGCUAAUUCCGUGCCAGCAGCCGCGGUAAUACGGAGGGUGCGGGCUUUAAUCGGAAUUACUGGGCGUAAAGCGCUCGUAGGCGGUAUGUCAAGUCAAGGGUGAAAUCCCCGCGCUCAACGUGGGAACUGCCUUUGAAACUGGCAAACUGGAGUGUGGGAGAGGAUAGUGGAAGUCCAGGUGUAGGAGUGAAAGCCGUAGAUAUCUGGAGGAACAUCAGGGGCGAAGGCGACUAUCUGGCACAUAACUGACGCUGAGGAGCGAAAGCGUGGGUAGCAAACAGGAUUAGAUACCCCGGUAGUC